CCUACGGGCGGCUGCAGUGGGGAAUAUUGCACAAUGGGCGAAAGCCUGAUGCAGCGACGCCGCGUGAGUGAAGAAGUAUUUCGGUAUGUAAAGCUCUAUCAGCAGGGAAGAAAAUGACGGUACCUGACUAAGAAGCCCCGGCUAACUACGUGCCAGCAGCCGCGGUAAUACGUAGGGGGCAAGCGUUAUCCGGAUUUACUGGGUGUAAAGGGAGCGUAGACGGCGAAGCAAGUCUGAAGUGAAAACCCAGGGCUCAACCCUGGGACUGCUUUGGAAACUGUUUUGCUAGAGUGUCGGAGAGGUAAGUGGAAUUCCUAGUGUAGCGGUGAAAUGCGUAGAUAUUAGGAGGAACACCAGUGGCGAAGGCGGCUUACUGGACGAUAACUGACGUUGAGGCUCGAAAGCGUGGGGAGCAAACAGGAUUAGAUACCCUGGUAGUC
Molecule: ribosomal RNA, 440 nt
Filed under: uncultured Lachnospiraceae bacterium
Lineage: Bacteria; Bacillati; Bacillota; Clostridia; Lachnospirales; Lachnospiraceae
Description: bacterial SSU rRNA
Rfam family: Bacterial small subunit ribosomal RNA
Source: RNAcentral